GAGCAAUCCAGGUCGGUUUCCAUCUAUGAUGAACUCUUCCCAGUACGAAAGGAUAGGAAAAGUGAGGCCAAUACUACAAGCAAGCCUUCGCCUUAAGUAAUGAAAACAACUAAAUUACGAAAAGCUAUCACACCCCACCACGUCCAAGAAAAGGACUACA
This 160-nucleotide ribosomal RNA is filed under the name Chloebia gouldiae (Gouldian finch). RNAcentral describes it as "Erythrura gouldiae (Gouldian finch) partial 16S ribosomal RNA". Lineage: Eukaryota; Metazoa; Chordata; Aves; Passeriformes; Passeridae. The record is from RNAcentral.